UGAUCCUGCCAGUAGUCAUAUGCUUGUCUCAAAGAUUAAGCCAUGCAUGUCUCAGUACAAACCGAAAUAAGGUGAAACCGCGAAAGGCUCAUUAUAUCAGUUAUGGUUCAUUAGAUCGUACCAACAUUUACUUGGAUAACUGUGGUAAUUCUAGAGCUAAUACGCGCAAACAGAACUCCGACCGGAGACGGAAGGAGCGCUUUUAUUAGAUCAAAACCAACGCGGGCGGCGCGCGCCGGCGGCCUCGCGUCGUCGCGCCGCGCCGUCUCACACAUAGCUCGCGAGACGAAUCUGAAUAACUUUACGCCGAUCGCACGGCCUCGCGCCGGCGACGCAUCUUUCAAAUGUCUGCCUUAUCAACUUUCGAUGGUAGGUUAUGCGCCUACCAUGGUCGUAACGGGUAACGGGGAAUCAGGGUUCGAUUCCGGAGAGGGAGCCUGAGAAACGGCUACCACAUCCAAGGAAGGCAGCAGGCGCGCAAAUUACCCACUCCCGGCACGGGGAGGUAGUGACGAAAAAUAACGAUACGGGACUCAUCCGAGGCCCCGUGAUCGGAAUGAGCACACUUUAAAUCCUUUAACGAGGAUCAAUUGGAGGGCAAGUCUGGUGCCAGCAGCCGCGGUAAUUCCAGCUCCAAUAGCGUAUAUUAAAGU
RNAcentral lists this ribosomal RNA (653 nucleotides) under Cheguevaria sp. 1 OK-2020. RNAcentral describes it as "SSU rRNA". It matches the Rfam family "Eukaryotic small subunit ribosomal RNA", at positions 9 to 610 of the family's 1831-position model. Lineage: Eukaryota; Metazoa; Arthropoda; Insecta; Coleoptera; Lampyridae. The record is from RNAcentral.